AUGGGUGUGUCUAAUCUAUGCUUAUUGUUUACUAUUGAGGAAGAAUGCAUGCAAAAGAAAAGAGAAAGAGAAAAUAAUGUAGGGAAAAUAAAGUUGUACUCGCUUGGGCCCUACCCCAAUGUCUGCGUAUUCUUUUUGAGGAAUCAGAGUUACCGUAGUUCGGCUCACAUGCUUUGUUUGUUUGUGUAUUUUAUGAACAAUGUUAAUUCCGCCUUCUUCUGCAGCUCGACCUUUGGAGACUCACGCGUUGGCACAUAA
Molecule: non-coding RNA, 258 nt
Organism: Vicia faba (fava bean)
Lineage: Eukaryota; Viridiplantae; Streptophyta; Magnoliopsida; Fabales; Fabaceae
Source: the annotation of a GenBank genome assembly